This 207-nucleotide long non-coding RNA is filed under the name Elaeis guineensis (African oil palm). RNAcentral's name for it is "long non-coding RNA (EGUI_LNC041742)". Lineage: Eukaryota; Viridiplantae; Streptophyta; Magnoliopsida; Arecales; Arecaceae. The record is from RNAcentral.
UCGAUUGGCUUGUCAAUGUAGUGAUGGUGAGAAAAAUUAAUAAAAAAUGAAGAAUCUAUAUCGACUACAUAAAUUUAAAUGAAACUUAUCCAAAAGAUAGUUUUUCCUUAUCAAAUAUCGAUCAACUAGUUGAUGCAACUUCGAGACAUCGACUUUUGAGCUUUAUAGAUACCUUUGUGGGCUAUAAUCAAAUUCAGAUGGCACUCG